This 444-nucleotide ribosomal RNA is filed under the name uncultured bacterium. RNAcentral describes it as "bacterial SSU rRNA". It matches the Rfam family "Bacterial small subunit ribosomal RNA", at positions 330 to 792 of the family's 1533-position model. The record is from RNAcentral.
CCCAGACUCCUACGGGAGGCAGCAGUGGGGGAUAUUGCACAAUGGGGGAAACCCUGAUGCAGCGACGCCGCGUGGGUGAAGAAGCGCCUCGGCGCGUAAAGCCCUGUCAGCAGGGAAGAAAAUGACGGUACCUGAAGAAAAAGCAUCGGCUAACUCCGUGCCAGCAGCCGCGGUAAUACGGAGGAUGCGAGCGUUAUCCGGAUUUAUUGGGUUUAAAGGGUGCGUAGGCGGAAUGCCAAGUCAGCGGUAAAAUCGCGGGGCUCAACCUCGCUCCGCCGUUGAAACUGGCGUUCUUGAGUGGGCGAGAAGUAUGCGGAAUUCCUGGUGUAGCGGUGAAAUGCGUAGAUAUCAGGAGGAACACCGGUGGCGAAGGCGGCCUGCUGGACUGCGACUGACGUUGAGGCCCGACAGCGUGGGGAGCCAACAGGAUUAGAUACCCGUGUA